Molecule: ribosomal RNA, 696 nt
Filed under: uncultured bacterium
Lineage: Bacteria
Description: bacterial SSU rRNA
Rfam family: Bacterial small subunit ribosomal RNA
Source: RNAcentral
CUGACGACCGGCGCACGGGUGCGUAACGCGUAUGCAACCUACCUCAUACUGGAGAAUAGCCCUUGGAAACGAGGAUUAAUGCUCCAUAGUAUCACAGAUUCGCAUGUUUCUGUGAUUAAAGAAUUUCGGUAUGAGAUGGGCAUGCGUCCCAUUAGCUUGUUGGUGAGGUAACGGCUCACCAAGGCAACGAUGGGUAGGGGGCCUGAGAGGGUGACCCCCCACACUGGUACUGAGACACGGACCAGACUCCUACGGGAGGCAGCAGUGAGGAAUAUUGGGCAAUGGAGGCAACUCUGACCCAGCCAUGCCGCGUGAAGGAUGACUGCCCUAUGGGUUGUAAACUUCUUUUAUAUGGGAAGAAACUUAUCUACGUGUAGAUAACUGACGGUACCAUACGAAUAAGGAUCGGCUAACUCCGUGCCAGCAGCCGCGGUAAUACGGAGGAUCCAAGCGUUAUCCGGAUUCAUUGGGUUUAAAGGGUCCGUAGGCGGGUCUUUAAGUCAGUGGUGAAAGCCGACAGCUCAACUGUCGAACUGCCAUUGAUACUGGAGACCUUGAGUACAAAUGAAGUAGGCGGAAUGAGUCAUGUAGCGGUGAAAUGCAUAGAUAUGACUCAGAACACCGAUUGCGAAGGCAGCUUACUAACAUGUAACUGACGCUGAGGGACGAAAGCGUGGGGAGCGAACAGGAUUAGAA